UCUCGGCUUAUCACCGGCAGUCCCCUUAGAGUGCCCAACUUAAUGCUGGCAACUAAGGGCGAGGGUUGCGCUCGUUGCGGGACUUAACCCAACAUCUCACGACACGAGCUGACGACAGCCAUGCAGCACCUGUGUCCCGGUCCCCGAAGGGAACCUUGCAUCUCUGCAAGUAGCCGGGCAUGUCAAGGGCUGGUAAGGUGGGGAGACGUAGACGUCAUAACC
RNAcentral lists this unclassified non-coding RNA (222 nucleotides) under uncultured Alphaproteobacteria bacterium. RNAcentral's name for it is "contains 16S-23S intergenic spacer region". The record is from RNAcentral. Lineage: Bacteria; Pseudomonadati; Pseudomonadota; Alphaproteobacteria.